GACGAACGCUGGCGGCGUGCCUAAUACAUGCAAGUCGAACGCAGUGGGGACGGGUGAGUAACACGUGGGUAACCUCCCAUCAGAGGUGAUAACACUUGGAAACAGGUGCUAAACCGAUACUGAUGGAUGGACCCGCGGUGCAUUAGCUAGUUGGUGAGGUAACGGCGCUCCCAGGCCACGAUGCAUAGCCGACCUGAGAGGGGGAUACGCCACACGUGAACUGAGACACGGCGCAGACUCCGACGGGAGGCAGCAGUAGGGAAUCUUCGGCAAUGGACGAAAGUCUGACCGAGCAACGCCGCGUGAGUGAAGAAGGGUUUCGGAUCGUAAAACUCUGUUGUUAGAGAAGCGGUAUCUAACCAGAAAGCCACGGCUAACUACGUGCCAGCAGCCGCGGUAAUUC
Molecule: ribosomal RNA, 403 nt
Filed under: uncultured bacterium
Lineage: Bacteria
Description: partial 16S ribosomal RNA
Rfam family: Bacterial small subunit ribosomal RNA
Source: RNAcentral